CUCCUGGUCCCUCCGGGCCGCACGCGCGGCAGGGAGCGAGCAGCAUCCGGUCCCUUCCGGAGCGCGCAGGCGGCGCCUUCUCAGCGUGCGCCCGGGGUGGGUCGACAGCGACCGGGACGGGAGGCGGGAGCGUUCCCGGAGGCUGCGGAGAGCCCCGCUUUGUCUCAAGGGACCGCUGGGCAGUUUCCUCCUUUUCCCGCCCGCAUCCCUCUGCUUCCAGGUGCUCCAGGAAGUCGCCGGAGCUGAAGGUGAAGAAACUGAGGCCCAGAAAGGUGCUAGCAGCAAUAGUGUUUUUAGGAAGAAGGAUAGAAUGAAAGUGGAGGGCAAGGAAUUUCCUACAAAGUCCUCUCUGAUUUUCAGUUUUUCGAAGACCACUGCAAUUCGCAAGUAGAUCCUGCAUUUGGAAUUUGCCAGAGUCACUUUGGAAGUUCCCGGGGCAGCACCAUAGGAAGAUUAGCCCUGAGCUAACAUCUGCUGCCAGUCCUCCUCUUUUUGCUGAGGAAGGCUGGCCCUGAGCUAACAUCCAUGCCCAUCUUCCUCUAUUUUAUAUGUGGGAUGCCUGCCACAGCAUGACUUGCCAAGUGGUGCCAUGUCCACACCUGGGAUCCAAACCCGAGAACCCCGGGCUGCCAAAGUGGAAGGUUUAUUCUGUUUUGUUUUUAAAGAAACUGAUGAAAGGAGAGAGAAAUGUCAAGGAAACACUGCUUUGAAUUUUAUAAAUAUUGGUCCUCAGUGAGGAUGAUAAGGCAAAUACAAAAAAGGAGCUUAAG
This 770-nucleotide long non-coding RNA is filed under the name Equus caballus (horse). RNAcentral's name for it is "lncRNA (ENSECAG00000050441.1)". Lineage: Eukaryota; Metazoa; Chordata; Mammalia; Perissodactyla; Equidae. The record is from RNAcentral.